GAUGAAGAACGUAGCGAAAUGCGAUAAGUAAUGUGAAUUGCAGAAUUCAGUGAAUCAUCGAAUCUUUGAACGCACAUUGCGCCCCUUGGUAUUCCGAGGGGCAUGCCUGUUCGAGCGUCAUUAUAACCCCUCAAGCUCAGCUUGGUGUUGGGGCCUGCUGCACUGGCAGCCCUUAAAAUCAGUGGCGGCGCCAUCUGGCUCUAAGCGUAGUAAUUCUUCUCGCUAUGGAGUCCUGGUGGAUGCUUGCCAUCAACCCCAAAUUUUUCUAUGGUUGACCUCGGAUCAGGUAGGGAUACCCGCUGAACUUAAGCAUAUCAAUAAGCGGAGGA
This 329-nucleotide unclassified non-coding RNA is filed under the name soil metagenome. RNAcentral's name for it is "partial contains 5.8S ribosomal RNA, internal transcribed spacer 2, and large subunit ribosomal RNA". The stretch from base 1 to 120 matches the Rfam family "5.8S ribosomal RNA", at positions 35 to 154 of the family's 154-position model. The record is from RNAcentral.